Molecule: ribosomal RNA, 240 nt
Filed under: uncultured bacterium
Lineage: Bacteria
Description: partial 16S ribosomal RNA
Source: RNAcentral
GACGAACGCUGGCGGCGUGCUUAACACAUGCAAGUCGAGCGGUAAGGCCUCGGGUACGACGAGCGGCGACGGUAGGAGUAACAACGUGGGUGGACCUCGCCCUUACGUCUCUGGGAGUAAGACCUCGGGAAACGUAGGGUCGUAAUAACCGGACGUAUGACCUCAUGACGCAUGUUGUUGGGGUGGGAAAGGACCUUCGUUGCGGCGUAGGGAGUGGGCCCGGCCGGCCGUACUCAGCUU